Passer domesticus (house sparrow) is the source of this 5987-nucleotide long non-coding RNA. RefSeq lists it as uncharacterized. The record is from RefSeq and is a predicted model, not a curated record. NCBI's taxonomy places the organism in Eukaryota, Metazoa, Chordata, Aves, Passeriformes, Passeridae. The transcript is spliced from 9 exons.
AAUUCUGCACUGGAAAUCAAUGGGCCAUAUUCCACAAAGAGAUGGACUGAAACUGCAUCCUUCCUGUAUCUUCUGUCUCUGCACUUAUAAAAAGAGGCCAACAGUGUACUCCUACCUCCUCUUUGGGUUACAACAAACCUAAAUCACCGGCUAUUUGCAAAGAUCCUAGGGUCAAAAAUAUGUAGGCUGCAUCUGCUUGAUUCUGCUGGGACUCUGAAGAGUUGAGCUUUCUUGGGUUGUGGGUUACCCAGCAGAGGGCAACGUCACUCUCACACAUGAAAACUAUUUGUAUGCUGCUUGAUCCAAAACUUGCUGAAAGCACGAGGAAUCCUUUCUUUGGCCUUUAUAGCUCUGUUUAAAUGCAGAUUUUUACUGUAUUUCAAUAUUAGCCUUGAAAUGAAAUGGCAGUCUGUGAGCACUCCCAUGGCACUGUUGGCAGCUAGCCCUAGAAAAAAAAACUUCAAAACCUUCCAGUGCUGGCCAGAAACACAAUAGGAAUUUUUAUUUUGUUGAUGGUUGAUACAGUGCUAAUAUCCUUAACAGCUGUGACUGAGAGGUGCUUUGAGUGUUGCAUGACUUUACUUAACUUUUAUCUAUUUAUUUGAUAUGUGACACAAGGGUAUUUGAGGUACAUGUCACAGGAGCUAGAAAAGAAGCACAUCAGGUAGAUCCUGACCUCAUGGAAACUGAUGGCAGCAUUUUUGUUCAUUUUCAAUGAGGUCUGGACUGUGCCUGAGCUUCCCCUCCAACCUUAUGGUGGUCAGGGUCCUUGGGGCACUAUUGAACCUUACUGACACUGAUCAGCUCCUCUCCUCUCUCCAGGAGACCAGUUUCAGCUUAGGGCUUGGCACCCAGUCCUGGCCUGUGGGCAUAUUUCUCUCUGACCUUGCCUUCUGGAUGGACCCCAGUCCUGUCUCCAGUCCUACCUCUUGCCCGUGUCUGCUGGACUGACCUUGGAAGUGCCUGGUUACUUUGUCUGCUCAGAGGCUGCUGCUGAGAUUCACUGCUGUGACCUCUGGGCUCUGCCCCAUCCUCAGAUCCUGUGGGACUGUCACUCUGCCAGUGACGGCAUGGCCUGUGCUGGGUCACCUGUGCUUCCUGGUUUGAUCUACUCAUGGCACAGCCCUGCUCCCACUGCUCGUGCAGAGACUCAGUUUAUGCCCUGUGAGAAAUCCCCAAUGAGAAAUUCAGUGAAAGCAUUUAGAGCACUUGAAAUGAACAGAGGUUGUGGUGGUCGUAUUUGCUAGAAAAAUCCCUUUGCCCAGGAUUCUUUUCCCAGGAAGCUGAGAAGCCUCAGAGAAAAAGGAAAACAAUAUUAUCUUGUUUGCUUCUCCUGUGUUUUGCUGCUUUGGAAUGUGGUUGGAGAUUGUUUAUCCAACAGGUGAUUGUUUCAUUGGUUUCAUGUGAAUUUUUUUGACUUAAUGACCAAUCAGGGUCAAGCUGUGUCAGGACUCUGGAAGGAGUCAGGAGUUUUUCCUUAGUAUCUUUUAGCCUUCUGUGUUCCUUGCUGAGCAAACAGGAUGAAGUGAGUCCUUUCAACAGCCUUUCCCAUCUUGGAUGUACUGGAGAGAAAUUUCCCCAACAAGCUGAAUCACACUGGGAAAAGCUGCUGCCUGGGAUUUUUCUUCUCCAAAAAAUAAUUUGUUUAUAUGAAUGCAUCGCUGUAGCUGCUGCAUGGGCUAUCCAGGUCUUCAGGAAGGGGAUACUGCAGCAGUCUUUCCUCCUAGGGCAUCACUUUCAUGUCAGGGUUGAGGUGCUAAACCUUGACAUACAACUGAGAGAAGAAUCUCCCUGAACUGAACAAAUGUGUCACUUUUGAAUAAGGAUUCAUGAAAAGGCAGAAGAGGAGAAGAAAAAAGAAUAAAGACCUUGGAGCAGCUCUUGUAAAUAACUGCAAAAACACUCCAGAAUCCUUCCAACAGAAUGUACUAUUGUCAUGUUUUAGCAUGAAUUUGAGCUCUGACAAGGGUGGCAUUAUUCCAGCCUUGGAGUAGGAAGAUGCCUGUUCACUGGUAGGACAUGUAAAUUGUAACUUGUGAUGGUACGAAGUCCCUUCAUAUCAAGUGGAAGACUUAAGAAAUGCUCUGCCCAUCUGAAGGCGGGAUGUGUGCCCUGAUCCCUAAAGCACUCUUGGGUUCUCUCAGUUUCAGUCAAGAAUUCCUGGUGUAUAGCUGUCUGGAGUCUUUGCCUUCUACGGCAGGAAUUGAAGGAAAGCUCUGGUAAUUUAUUUGCAUGAAUAUCUUUGCUUUUCAUAUGGGUCUUUUAGUUGUUUUUUUUUUUUUUGUUGUUGUUUGUUUGGUUUUUUAAUAUAUUGUUGCAAUUAUUGAGCCUCUUAGUCUUUCUGAGCAAAUGCAAAAUUGACUAUGAAAACAGAAUGUAAGUUAUCUUUGCUAGUUGGGUGAAAUAUCUACUGCUCAAAAUCCAGGUUUCCUUUGAUUAAUCAUUGUCACAUUUUACAUUAAGGCACCCCACUGUCCAUAUUAAUUUCCUUUCUAAUUGCAUCUCAAUAGCUCAGUAAUUUCAGUUGUGCAUUUUGGAAGUCCUCUUUUUAGUUUAUUCAGCAAACUGCUAAAGUAACACAAUGGCUAGCCUUUCUGACAGAAAAGUAGUACAAAAAGCUUUGUUCUCUUUCAUCUGGCAGUUGUGGGUUAGUGCUUAAGAGAUAGUUUAUUACUGCACAGGGGGAAAGGGGUUAACCUGUAUUUAUGUGUUGUUGUUGAUUUUUAUGUCAAUAUCUUGCAAAUUAAAAAUCCUGGCAAUAAAAGUGACAUGUGAGCAGUCAAGUGAACAGACAAGCAAUGCUUUCAUUCAGGGAGGUUUAAACAGGCUAAAAAUUGGACUGGGACAUGAACGUUUUGUUCUGAUAAUGUCAGUUUGGCUCUGCUGCAAUUUCAUUACAGUGUUUCUAAUCACAUUGUUUCAUGUUUUUAAUUAAUCUGAGGUACAAUAAUCAAGUUCAAUGUUUCAGCUAUGUAAGGAAAACAUGAGCUGCCUAGCUAAACCCAUUGAAAAUAUCCUUACAUGCACUAUGGAAAAAUACACCUUCAUAAACAAAGUGCACAUGUCUGAUGCUUAAUCAUGUUCCUCAGAAAUAAAAUGACCAUGCUCUAUAUGAUUCUUAAGUGAUAUAUAUAGAAACAAGCUGUUCCAUAAUCAAUGUAGGUAAUGAAGCCUGGUUUCCUUAAGGUCUGUGUUCUUUGUUCUUAAAUCCUCAAAUUCAGUUCCCUCAGAGUUUACAGUAACAAUGACUCACCCAUUGUGGAUAAUAUUAGGAGUAAGUCAGGGCUUAAAGAAAGGCAUGUUCCUACAGUAUGGCACGGCAACAUUUGUUAAAUCUCUGCAUGAAAUUUCUACUAAAUGUAGAAAUUUAGGAUGCCACAUGCAGAGUUGGUUGGUAUUCAGAACCAGAAGACUCCAAGCUCCAGCCAUAAACUUAGACACAAGUUAUGCCAAGUGUACAAAAAAAUUUUUCCAAGCCCAGGCUAAGGGUACUCCUUGCAUCCUGCUGAAGGUGAACUUGUGCUGUUAAGUGACACCUCCAAAAGAGUUCCCAGUGCCUCAGCACUCACCUGACAUAUCUACAGUUUUUCACAAGAAGGAUGGGACCUACAUAAAGUGAAAAAAUUGGGACAGAUAAGACCAUUUGGGUGUGCUCUGUUAUUUGUCCAUUUUGUACUUUGACCAUAAAUAAGAGACUGUUUUGGAUGACAUACUCCUUACUCCUCACUACUUCCAGUGCAGCUGUAUGCCUUCACAGAAAAUUGAUUAAGAGCUGUGAAGCUGCACCUAACUGGACAGGGGAGCCAGUUUGAUGUGGGACCCUGGGAGCUGUCAGAAAAUGAGAGAAAAGAGAAAGAGAUUGUGAAGACAAACUUGGUCACCAUGUACUUUCCAAAGGCUGUGUCAUCCACGAGAGUUCUGAUACACCUGGGAGGAGUGGGGAGCCCUGAUCUCUUCUUAGCCACUGCUACUCAGAUGAACCCUGCAAGGCAGAUACAAAUGCACAUCCCAGAGCUCAGAUAUGAGUCAUAUACCCACCCUGCUCUUCCCUAGCGAGACAGGGACCCUGAAGGCUGUGCAAAAAUGCAAUUUCAAGUAAUAAGGCUGAAAUUAAAACUCAGGUACUUGUAGAGUACAGGCAGAAGUGUUAUACAGCAGGUGAGCAGACCUGUGAACAUUACUUAUCAUCCUAGUACUUAAUAAAAUCACUUCCAUCUUGGCACCAGUCUUUCUUCCCUGCCUUGGAAAGAGAGAGAACAUCUUGCUUAUCAAAAUCACAUCCAAACUUGAUGUUGGUCUUUGUUGAUAAUGGUAUGUAUAUAGGUCAAACUCACCUGUCUGCUGCAACUGACAUAGAGAAGGACCAAGAGAGGCUGGAAAUGUUACCUAGUGGGAAUCAGGAGGAGAAGAUGAGACACUCCUAAGGCUCAGGUUAGAGAUGAGUAUCCCUGUAGUUUCUCCUCUUUCUUCCCCCACUUAUUCUUCCUUGUUGGGAGCCACUGUUCCUCUAGGGGAGAAGGAAACACUGAUAGAUAUCUGAGGUCCCAUCUCAAAUCACGUCUCCUCAUGUUGGCCUCCCAGUAUUACUAAUAAUUAAUCUGGCCUGAAUGCCCCAUUUUUUUCCAGCUCACACUUGUGUCUCCAUUUAGUUUUCUCUUGAUGACUCUGUGUGUGUUCCCAGAGCACCCAACAAAUGGUCUGUAGGUCCUGAUUUUAUGCACUAAGUCAUUAGUAACAGCAGUACUCAAAAAAAAUGUGUGUAUUAACCAGAUAUUUUUUAAAUGGCCCAUCUCCAUCUCUGAAUUUCCUGGUUUGUCUUUUCCUCUAUGUAUCUGAUUUUUAGAUUGCUGUAUUUGCUUGAUAGACACUACAAUUACUGUCAAGAAUGUCAGUGAUAUGAAGCUAUUAGGAGGCAAUAAUCUGUAUUCUCUAUUGAUAAACUAUUGCAAUAAAAAUCAAUAGCACAUUUAACAGUUUACAAAAACCUCACUGCCAGAUGGUUUCUUCUGAUGUUGUUGAUCUCUUUGUGUUCUUUGGUCUUAUGUAUAUCCCAUAAAGUUUGUCUGUACAUUAUUACAUCUCUGCUUUUUAACUGCUGUUACUGUAAGAAUGAACUAAUCAGAAAUCUCCGAAUGCCAGUCUAAUAAAAGUGCAUAAAGAUGGAUCAUGGGAAUGACCUGAAUGCAUAGGGGAUUUAUUAUGUGAGUAUGAGAAAACGUAUUGGACUGUUUGUGACUAAUAUUUUUGUUUGAUUUAUGAAUUCUGUCAUCUUUUAUAAUCCUCAAAUUAAUAGAAAACACAAGGGUCUUAGCUGUACUAAAAAAAAAAAAAAAACCAAACCCUCUCCUUUGGUAAACUUUAUCUACAUUUGUUUUUCAACCAUUUUGAAAAUCCAAAGUUCCUGAAAUUUUUGAGCUGGGUUAUGAUUUGCUGAAAUAAUAAGGGACCCUCUGAGAGUACUGGUUAUUUUCCUUUAUUUCAUUUGCCAUAGUAUGUGGGUCUGAUUUUGUUUUCUUUGGGUGAGUUACUUUGUUUUUAAAUUCAGGAAUUGAAACAAAACAAAUUCUCUCUGCAAAAUGUAACAAUUUGUGUUGAUUACAAUAAAAAAAAUCAAAGAAAAAGUUUUUUUUAACAUGUAUUUUGAUUAGGUAAUAGUAGUAUCUUAUAAAUCCAUGAGAUGGGUUAUAAAGGAAUAGCUUACUUAUUUCCAGGUGGAAAUAAUUUUGAAAGUAUAGAGAUAAGAAAUGUUGUCUAUGCAAGGAGAACACCUAGAAUGAAUAAAGAAGGAGAUGAAGAAAGGGGAGGGGAACUAAAAUCCAUAACUGAAGGAAAACCCAUUAUUUAACACCUAAACAUAUGUGUGCAUAUAAAAGCAUACCUUAUAAAAUGCUUAGUUUUCAGAACUAUAUAAAAAUUGUUGACGUUUUUUGCCUGAAGGAAUGUGCAAGAGAUGCAAGACCAUGUACCCCAACUGGCUCCUCUCUGUC